GGCCAGACUCCUACGGGAGGCAGCAGUGAGGAAUAUUGGUCAAUGGGCGGGAGCCUGAACCAGCCAAGUCGCGUGAGGGAGGACGGCCCUACGGGUUGUAAACCUCUUUUGCCGGGGAGCAACGGGCGUCACGUGUGGCGCCACUGAGAGUACCCGGAGAAAAAGCAUCGGCUAACUCCGUGCCAGCAGCCGCGGUAAUACGGAGGAUGCGAGCGUUAUCCGGAUUUAUUGGGUUUAAAGGGUGCGUAGGCGGAUCGUUAAGUCGGGGGUCAAAUGGGGGGGCUCACCCCCUGCCCGCCAUUGAAACUGGCGCUCUUGAGUGGAAGAGAAGUAUGCGGAAUGCGUGGUGUAGCGGUGAAAUGCAUAGAUAUCACGCAGAACCCCGAUUGCGAAGGCAGCAUGCCGGCUUCCGACUGACGCUGAAGCACGAAAGCGUGGGGAUCGAACAGGAUUAGAUACCCCCGUAAUG
RNAcentral lists this ribosomal RNA (469 nucleotides) under uncultured bacterium. RNAcentral describes it as "bacterial SSU rRNA". It matches the Rfam family "Bacterial small subunit ribosomal RNA", at positions 329 to 794 of the family's 1533-position model. The record is from RNAcentral.